This is a small nuclear RNA of Onychomys torridus (southern grasshopper mouse), 112 nucleotides long. Lineage: Eukaryota; Metazoa; Chordata; Mammalia; Rodentia; Cricetidae. The record is from RefSeq and is a predicted model, not a curated record.
GUCCUAGUCUCACUUCAGCAGCACAUAUACUAAAAUUGAAACAGUACAGAGAGAUUAGCAUGGCCCCUGCGCAAGGAUGACAACAUUUUGUGGAGCAUUCCAUAUAGGUUUU